RNAcentral lists this ribosomal RNA (958 nucleotides) under Salmonella enterica. Its description in RNAcentral is "partial 23S ribosomal RNA". It matches the Rfam family "Bacterial large subunit ribosomal RNA", at positions 330 to 1191 of the family's 2925-position model. The record is from RNAcentral. Lineage: Bacteria; Pseudomonadati; Pseudomonadota; Gammaproteobacteria; Enterobacterales; Enterobacteriaceae.
UAGUGGAAGCGUCUGGAAAGGCGCGCGAUACAGGGUGACAGCCCCGUACACAAAAGCGCAUGUGCUGUGAGCUCGAUGAGUAGGGCGGGACACGUGGUAUCCUGUCUGAAUAUGGGGGGACCAUCCUCCAAGGCUAAAUACUCCUGACUGACCGAUAGUGAACCAGUACCGUGAGGGAAAGGCGAAAAGAACCCCGGCGAGGGGAGUGAAAAAGAACCUGAAACCGUGUACGUACAAGCAGUGGGAGCCCCACCACUAAGCCAGUGGUGAACUCCACAUACGCAUCCUUUGCUGAGGAUACGGUUAACGGAGCGAAAGCGACGUUCAACCGCAAAAGAAGCAGAGGGGGCUUAGUGGUGGGGUGACUGCGUACCUUUUGUAUAAUGGGUCAGCGACUUAUAUUCUGUAGCAAGGUUAACCGAAUAGGGGAGCCGGAGGGAAACCGAGUCUUAAUUGGGCGUUAAGUUGCAGGGUAUAGACCCGAAACCCGGUGAUCUAGCCAUGGGCAGGUUGAAGGUUGGGUAACACUAACUGGAGGACCGAACCGACUAAUGUUGAAAAAUUAGCGGAUGACCUGUGGCUGGGGGUGAAAGGCCAAUCAAACCGGGAGAUAGCUGGUUCUCCCCGAAAGCUAUUUAGGUAGCGCCUCGUGAAUUCAUCUCCGGGGGUAGAGCACUGUUUCGGCUAGGGGGCCAUCCCGGCUUACCAACCCGAUGCAAACUGCGAAUACCGGAGAAUGUUAUCACGGGAGACACACGGCGGGUGCUAACGUCCGUCGUGAAGAGGGAAACAACCCAGACCGCCAGCUAAGGUCCCAAAGUCAUGGUUAAGUGGGAAACGAUGUGGGAAGGCCCAGACAGCCAGGAUGUUGGCUUAGAAGCAGCCAUCAUUUAAAGAAAGCGUAAUAGCUCACUGGUCGAGUCGGCCUGCGCGGAAGAUGUAACGGGGCUAAACCAUG